UGGGGAAUUUUGGACAAUGGGCGAAAGCCUGAUCCAGCAAUGCCGCGUGUGUGAAGAAGGCCUUCGGGUUGUAAAGCACUUUUGUCCGGAAAGAAAUCCUUGGCUCUAAUACAGUCGGGGGAUGACGGUACCGGAAGAAUAAGCACCGGCUAACUACGUGCCAGCAGCCGCGGUAAUACGUAGGGUGCAAGCGUUAAUCGGAAUUACUGGGCGUAAAGCGUGCGCAGGCGGUUUGCUAAGACCGAUGUGAAAUCCCCGGGCUCAACCUGGGAACUGCAUUGGUGACUGGCAGGCUAGAGUAUGGCAGAGGGGGGUAGAAUUCCACGUGUAGCAGUGAAUGCGUAGAGAUGUGGAGGAAUACCGAUGGCGAAGGCAGCCCCCUGGGCCAAUACUGACGCUCAUGCACGAAAGCGUGGGGAGCAAACAGGAUUAGAUACCCUGGUAGUCCACGCCCUAAACGAUGUCAACUAGUUGUUGGGGAUUCAUUUCCUUAGUAACGUAGCUAACGCGUGAAGUUGACCGCCUGGGGAGUACGGUCGCAAGAUU
RNAcentral lists this ribosomal RNA (546 nucleotides) under uncultured bacterium. RNAcentral's name for it is "partial 16S ribosomal RNA". It matches the Rfam family "Bacterial small subunit ribosomal RNA", at positions 355 to 895 of the family's 1533-position model. The record is from RNAcentral.